GGUUGACCUCGAAUCAGGUAGGACUACCCGCUGAACUUAAG
This 41-nucleotide ribosomal RNA is filed under the name Ophiostoma pluriannulatum. RNAcentral's name for it is "partial 28S ribosomal RNA". The record is from RNAcentral. Lineage: Eukaryota; Fungi; Ascomycota; Sordariomycetes; Ophiostomatales; Ophiostomataceae.